Molecule: ribosomal RNA, 253 nt
Filed under: uncultured bacterium
Lineage: Bacteria
Description: partial 16S ribosomal RNA
Rfam family: Bacterial small subunit ribosomal RNA
Source: RNAcentral
GACGGGGGGGGCAAGCGUUGUUCGGAAUUACUGGGCGUAAAGGGCUCGUAGGUGGCCAACUAAGUCAGACGUGAAAUCCCUCGGCUUAACCGGGGAACUGCGUCUGAUACUGAUGGCUUGAGUUUGGGAGAGGGAUGCGGAAUUCCAGGUGUAGCGGUGAAAUGCGUAGAUAUCUGGAGGAACACCGGUGGCGAAGGCGGCAUCCUGGACCAACACUGACGCUGAGUGAGCGAAAGCCAGGGGAGCAAACGGG